RNAcentral lists this ribosomal RNA (468 nucleotides) under uncultured bacterium. RNAcentral describes it as "partial 16S ribosomal RNA". It matches the Rfam family "Bacterial small subunit ribosomal RNA", at positions 28 to 507 of the family's 1533-position model. The record is from RNAcentral.
GACGAACGCUGGCGGCGUGCUUAACACAUGCAAGUCGAACGGAAAGGCCCUGCUUUUGUGGGGUGCUCGAGUGGCGAACGGGUGAGUAACACGUGAGUAACCUGCCCUUGACUUUGGGAUAACUUCAGGAAACUGGGGCUAAUACCGGCUAGGAGCUCCUGCUGCAUGGUGGGGGUGGGAUAGUUUCGGCGGUUGGGGAUGGACUCGCGGCUUAUCAGCUUGUUGGUGGGGUAGUGGCUUACCAAGGCUUUGACGGGUAGCCGGCCUGAGAGGGUGACCGGCCACAUUGGGACUGAGAUACGGCCCAGACUCCUACGGGAGGCAGCAGUGGGGAAUAUUGCACAAUGGGCGGAAGCCUGAUGCAGCAACGCCGCGUGCGGGAUGACGGCCUUCGGGUUGUAAACCGCUUUCGCCUGUGACGAAGCGUGAGUGACGGUAAUGGGUAAAGAAGCACCGGCUAACUACGUG